Molecule: ribosomal RNA, 1352 nt
Filed under: Listeria monocytogenes
Lineage: Bacteria; Bacillati; Bacillota; Bacilli; Caryophanales; Listeriaceae
Description: partial 23S ribosomal RNA
Rfam family: Bacterial large subunit ribosomal RNA
Source: RNAcentral
UUGGUUAAGUUAGAAAGGGCGCACGGUGGAUGCCUUGGCACUAGGAGCCGAAGAAGGACGGGACUAACACCGAUAUGCUUUGGGGAGCUGUACGUAAGCGUUGAUCCAGAGAUUUCCGAAUGGGGGAACCCACUAUCUUUAGUCGGAUAGUAUCCUUACGUGAAUACAUAGCGUGAGGAAGGCAGACCCAGGGAACUGAAACAUCUAAGUACCUGGAGGAAGAGAAAGAAAAAUCGAUUUCCUGAGUAGCGGCGAGCGAAACGGAAAGAGCCCAAACCAAGAAGCUUGCUUCUUGGGGUUGUAGGACACUCUAUACGGAGUUACAAAAGAAAGUUAUAAAUGAAGCGGUCUGGAAAGGCCCGCCAAAGACGGUAACAGCCCGGUAGUUGAAAUGGCUUUCCCUCCAGAGUGGAUCCUGAGUACGGCGGAACACGUGAAAUUCCGUCGGAAUCCGGGAGGACCAUCUCCCAAGGCUAAAUACUCCCUAGUGACCGAUAGUGAACCAGUACCGUGAGGGAAAGGUGAAAAGCACCCCGGAAGGGGAGUGAAACAGUUCCUGAAACCGUGUGCCUACAAGUAGUUAGAGCCCGUUAAUGGGUGAUAGCGUGCCUUUUGUAGAAUGAACCGGCGAGUUACGAUUUGUUGCAAGGUUAAGCGGAAAAAGCGGAGCCGUAGCGAAAGCGAGUCUGAAUAGGGCGCAUAAGUAACAGGUCGUAGACCCGAAACCAGGUGAUCUACCCAUGUCCAGGAUGAAGGUAAGGUAAUACUUACUGGAGGUCCGAACCCACGCACGUUGAAAAGUGCGGGGAUGAGGUGUGGGUAGCGGAGAAAUUCCAAUCGAACUUGGAGAUAGCUGGUUCUCUCCGAAAUAGCUUUAGGGCUAGCCUCGAGGUAAAGAGUCAUGGAGGUAGAGCACUGUUUGGACUAGGGGCCCUUCUCGGGUUACCGAAUUCAGAUAAACUCCGAAUGCCAUGUACUUAUACUCGGGAGUCAGACUGCGAGUGAUAAGAUCCGUAGUCGAAAGGGAAACAGCCCAGACCACCAGUUAAGGUCCCCAAAUAUAUGUUAAGUGGAAAAGGAUGUGGGGUUGCUUAGACAACCAGGAUGUUGGCUUAGAAGCAGCCACCAUUGAAAGAGUGCGUAAUAGCUCACUGGUCGAGUGACCCCGCGCCGAAAAUGUACCGGGGCUAAACAUAUUACCGAAACUGUGGAUGAACCUCUUUAGAGGUUCGUGGUAGGAGAGCGUUCUAAGGGCGGUGAAGUCAGACCGGAAGGACUGGUGGAGCGCUUAGAAGUGAGAAUGCCGGUAUGAGUAGCGAAAGAAGGGUGAGAAUCCCUUCCACCGAAUAUCU